Molecule: ribosomal RNA, 372 nt
Filed under: Rhizophagus sp. (in: glomeromycetes)
Lineage: Eukaryota; Fungi; Glomeromycota; Glomeromycetes; Glomerales; Glomeraceae
Description: LSU rRNA
Source: RNAcentral
UUGAAAGGGAAACGAUUGAAGUCAGUCGUACCUGCGGGUAAUCAGCCUUUUGGGCAUGAUUCCGUGGAGCGUGAGGAGUUAAACGCCUUCAUGCCUGCAUAUUCGUGCUCUUGGGUGUACUUGCUCGUGUGGUUGGUUAACAUCAAUUUCGGUUAUCAUAAAAUGGCUGGAGGAAUGUAGCUUCGAUCUCGUAUUGAAGUGUUAUAGCCUUCGGCAGAUGUGAUGAUUGGGAUUGAGGAUUGCAACGGAUACCCUUCGGGGCUACCUGUCUGAUUUCUGAUCGUUGCUCUGGUGCCGAAAGCUUGCUUACGGUUAUCAAAGUCGAUGGUCAAUAGGUUAGAAUGGGUUAAAUUCGUUAAGGAUGUUGACGUA